This is a long non-coding RNA of Contarinia nasturtii (swede midge), 2574 nucleotides long. RefSeq lists it as uncharacterized. NCBI's taxonomy places the organism in Eukaryota, Metazoa, Arthropoda, Insecta, Diptera, Cecidomyiidae. The record is from RefSeq and is a predicted model, not a curated record. The transcript has 7 exons.
AUUACAAACUCAAAAAAAGAAAUGCCAUAAAAAGGAAGGGGGGAUUCGUUACAUUACUAUGAAUUUGUGCUGCAAACAAAUAUUUUCGAUAAUUCAAAACAUGAAAAGUGCAGAAAAUACUCAAAACAUAAAAGAAACCAGAAAAUUGACGACUUUAAGACGCUUAUCAAUGUAAUUUUAAGAGUUAUUUUGUCCCAUUCUUUCGUUACACGCUUUCUGCCUCCAGCACAUAUACCAUAUAUAAACAAUUCGCGCUGCUCAGCUGUUACUAUUCACUAAUGUGACAGCUAAUGUCAAACAAAAUUAUUUGUUGUCAUAAAAUCAAACAACAAGUCUAUUUCCGUGUCAUAGAUAUCAAGUAAUCAUUUUAUUAAAUUCGAGAAGCAGUUCAAUUUAAGCCGUUUCGCAUUCAUCCAAUAAGUUAAACAAGAAUUUUAAAAAAAUGUUCUAAUAAAAACAAAUAACAAUAAAUUUCUUGUCAACUUGAGGUUUGACAACCAACCAAUUUUCUUUCAAUCUACAUUUUUUCCCAAUUGUUCAAAGUGGAAAUGCUUCCAACUGUGACCAAUUGCUUUUAUUUCAUUAGUUUGAGAACUGCCGGUCUCAUUCUGGGUGUUAUAAGCAUUUGCAUAGAAAUAUUUUAUGUCGCCUUUGGUGUGAAUUUGAUAGUAAUGCUACUCUUCAUGGCCACUUCUUUUGCAUGGAUAUACGGCAUCUUAACAAACAAGCCAAUGUUGAUGGUCCCGAAUCUGGUUAUUCAUUUAGUACCAGUAGCAGUUCCAAUAUGUACUUAUGUGCUCAUGGCGGUCUUUGGUGAUCCCCAAAGAGAUUAUGAGACAUUUCUUUGGCUGAUCAUUUCAGCUUUACUUCUACACUUUUGGAUAGUUCAGUAUUCCCUUUACAAAUCCAUGGUUAAACUGCAGUCGUCCGAAGGAAAUAAUGAAGUGAAUCGAAUGGAAGUUACAAUGUUUCCCUUGUGAAAAAUCAUAAUUGAAAUGACUAUUUUGGGAUGUCUUGAAUGGUGCUUUAUAUGAAAAUGACUUUCAUGAUUAGUGAUAAUCGGUUACAUAUAAACUAAUGAGUUCUCUCAACAAAAACAAAAAUGUGGAAAAAGGUUGCACUGAAAUAGCCUUGAACAAACAAUUAAGAAUAAGAGGAUCCAACUUAAUUGUUAACUGAGCAUGGCCUAUUUGAUACACAUAUAACUUGCAUAAGUUAAAAAAGUAUACCGACUCACCUCAUUUUUGAUCAUAAAUACCUCAAAUCUCUUUUAUUACUUCAAUCAUAUUUUGAAUUGUUAUUGUUGUUAAGAUGGUUUUUGAAUAAAAAAUUAAACUAAAUAAAAAAGGCACACCCUGAUCAAUGUUGGUCAAACACAAAUCCGAAUUUAACAUAACAGCCAAAACAUGAGAGAAAUAUAUAUUUUAUGUGCAGUGUACCACAUUUUACAGUUGAUACAUGCAACCAGAGGUGAAACACAAAAUCAUGAGAUAAGUAAAUUUACCUACUUCCAGGCGCCUAUCGUUGUUUGUCAAAUUAUGUUCAAGGCAAUAUCAAAGCUUAUUCUGUUUCAUUUUUUUGUAUUCUAUAUUCUUUGUAAACAAUAUUCCUAUAUAUUGAUUUGACAGCCAAUUUGGAACCGGUUAUUUACUGCAGACAACAAUUCUCACCAAAAAUAUAAGGCGUAGAUUGAACAAUAUUUUUAUCAAAUUGGCCAAAGAGUCAAAAAAUAUUUUUCCCCAAGAAAUAUAAUUUUUUUAUUCAUUUUGAGUUUUAAUACAACCAAUUCAUCAACGGACUUAUUCGAAAUUAAUCGGAGUCAACAUGUGUAUUGUGACCCAUUGUUUUUAUUUUAUUAGUUUGAGAAAUGCUGGUCUCAUUCUGGGUGUGAUGAACAUUGGCAUUGAAAUGUUUUUUAUUGUCGUCGGUGCGAAAUUAGUUACUACAUGUGUAAUGCUGGUUUUUGUAGCAAAUUCUUUGGCAUGGAUUUACGGCAUAUUGAUCGACAAUCGAAAUUUUAUGCUACCGAAUCUAUUCCUCUAUCUAAUACUCGUGUUAUUUGUACCAUGGGUUUUUGUGGUAAUUGGUGCUUUUAGUGCCAUCGGUGGUAAACCCAUGAAAGAUUAUGAAGUGUUAAUUGGAUUAAUAAUUUCAGUGCUACCAAUAUACUUUUGGAUAGUACAAUAUUCUCUCUACAGGUCCAUGUCUAAACCAACACCCGAAGUAAGCAAUACAUUCAAUGAAUUCUCGAAUGAAGUUUAAACAUCGAAUCGCUACAAUUUUCGUGUCGAGCAAAUAUAAACAGACAGACAGACAAUAGUAGACAGACUAUUUUAACAUUUUGCAUGAAUUCAAUUAUAGCUUCAAUUAUAGCUUAUAUAUUUUUAUUACGAGACUAUUGAAAAAUACUCUACUCCUAAUUGGCAUUGAUUUAUGGUGCAAACAUAUUUUUUUAAAUUUAAGGGUACGACUUGUUCGUUUUUUAAAGAAUUCCCGUGAAGACUGUGACAUUAAAUAAUAAUCAAGAAUGUUUUCGAUCUUGUUGCAAGCAAAAAAACCAUAAUAAAUUUUCAU